UACGGAGGGAGCUAGCGUUGCUCGGAAUCACUGGGCGUAAGGCGCACGUAGGUGGGUCGUUAAGUUGAGGGUGAAAUCCCAGGGCUCAACCCUGGAACUGCCUUCAAUACUGGCGACCUUCGAGUCCGGGAGAGGUGAGUGGAACUGCGAGUGUAGAGGUGAAAUUCGUAGAUAUUCGCAAGAACACCAGUGGCGAAGGCGGCUCACUGGCCCGGUACUGACACUGAGGUGCGAAAGCGUGGGGAGCAAACAGG
This 254-nucleotide ribosomal RNA is filed under the name uncultured bacterium. RNAcentral describes it as "partial 16S ribosomal RNA". It matches the Rfam family "Bacterial small subunit ribosomal RNA", at positions 524 to 776 of the family's 1533-position model. The record is from RNAcentral.